RNAcentral lists this transfer RNA (74 nucleotides) under Naumannella cuiyingiana. It matches the Rfam family "tRNA". From Rfam's summary of the family: Transfer RNA (tRNA) molecules are approximately 80 nucleotides in length. Their secondary structure includes four short double-helical elements and three loops (D, anti-codon, and T loops). The record is from Rfam by way of RNAcentral. RNAcentral also lists the same sequence under 1 other name. Lineage: Bacteria; Bacillati; Actinomycetota; Actinomycetes; Propionibacteriales; Propionibacteriaceae.
GGGCGCAUAGCUCAGUUGGUCAGAGCAUCUGCCUUACAAGCAGAGGGUCGGCGGUUCGAGCCCGUCUGCGCCCA